GGAGGGUGCGAGCGUUAAUCGGAAUUACUGGGCGUAAAGCGCGCGUAGGUGGUUUGUUAAGUCAGCUGUGAAAGCCCCGGGCUCAACCUGGGAACUGCAGUUGAUACUGGCCGACUGGAGUACGAGAGAGGGAGGUAGAAUUCCAUGUGUAGCGGUGAAAUGCGUAGAUAUAUGGAGGAAUACCAGUGGCGAAGGCGGCCUCCUGGCUCGAUACUGACGCUGAGGUGCGAAAGCGUGGGGAUCAAACAGGAUUAGAUACCCUGGUAGUCCACGCCGUAAACGAUGUCUACUAGCCGUUGGGAGACUUGAUUUCUUAGUGGCGCAGCUAACGCUUUAAGUAGACCGCCUGGGGAGUACGGCCGCAAGGUUA
RNAcentral lists this ribosomal RNA (370 nucleotides) under uncultured bacterium. RNAcentral describes it as "bacterial SSU rRNA". It matches the Rfam family "Bacterial small subunit ribosomal RNA", at positions 527 to 896 of the family's 1533-position model. The record is from RNAcentral.